This 544-nucleotide long non-coding RNA is filed under the name Strigops habroptila (Kakapo). Its description in RNAcentral is "lncRNA (ENSSHBG00005015869.1)". The record is from RNAcentral. Lineage: Eukaryota; Metazoa; Chordata; Aves; Psittaciformes; Psittacidae.
GUGCAACCUUUACAGUGCCCGCUCCAGGCUCUGCCGAGCCCGGCCCGUUGAGGACGAAUGUCUGUCCCCUGCUCCCACAGCCGAAGAGCCAAGACAGAAAGCAGGUGCUGGGCCUCUUCUGCACACGCACUUCCAAGAGCUGGAAGAAGGUGGAAGAGCUGCUGGCUUCCCGGCAGCACAGACGAGCAGUGGCCCUGGGAAGACCCACCGGUCGCAGCGCCCCCCGGUGCUCUCUUCGGCCUCCCGGUGGAGUCGGCUUUUGAAGCGGAGGAAUUACCGGGUGAGUACUGGGGGGGGGGGGCGAUGGGGCAGACUCCGGCGUUCGGGUGCUCUGACUGCUCCCCGCAGACUCCUGCACCAAUGUCCUCACCUCCUCAUCCUCGCCCCUCUCCUCCUCGUCCCCGGAGAACGUGGAGUACUCGGGGCUGGACUUUCCAUCGCACCCCGCGCCCGGAUCCUCCCCGGACUUCAGGCCCUGGACGCUGCAGCCGGGGACGCUGCAGAGCCCCCUCCCCAAACAGCGCAGCCCCCCGAAACUCCCCCU